GUAUAUAUGCAUUUAAAUUUUAUUUAAUAAUUUUAUAGACUAAGUAAAGGUUGGUUGAGGAAUAUUAUAGUUUAAUUUAAUAUCGUUAUACUGUAAAGGUGUUGGGUUUUAGUAGAGAAAAAUUUAAUUGAUGGGUACCUUUUGUAUCAGGGUAAAUUUAAUUAAAUAUUUAUUUGUAUAUCCCGAAUUUAUUAGAUUUAAUUUAGUUAAUAAUUACUUGUAUUAUAAAGUUUGGAUAAGCUAAAUUAGUAAUGAAAUGUUAGGCGUGAAUAUGGGUAUCUGGUUUUUUUGUUAAAAAUUUAAUUUUUUCUAUGCAUGUGCUUGGGGUAUAGGGUAUUAACUGUUGUGGAUUUUUUUAAUAGGGGAUAAUCUUUUUUAAUAUUUAUAAUUAUAAAUUUUGUUUAUUUUUGGUUAGGUAUAUUUUAAAUUGAUGAAGUUAAUAUUUAAUAAUAGAGAGAGAGGCAAUAUGUUUUUAUUUUUAAAUAUUUAAGUAAGUAAAAAAAAAUAAUAAUUAAUUUUUUUAUAAGAUAGAAUAUGAUUUUAUUAGUAUAGAAUUUGUUUAUUUGGUAAUUUAUUAUGUUGAAAUAUUUAAGUAUUUGUAAUUGAGGAAUUAGGCAUAAUUAAUGUUUACCUGUUUAUCAAAAACAUGGUUUUAGGUUUUUAUUUGAAAUUACUUCUGCUCAAUGAUGAUUUAAAUGGCUGCGGUAAAUUGACUGUGCAAAGGUAGCAUAAUAAUUAGUUUAUUGAUUGUAAACUGGGAUGAAUGGAAUGAUGAAGCAUUAGCUGUCUUAAUUUAAAUGCGUUUGAAUUUUACAUUUAAGUUAAAAGACUUAAUUAAAUUUAAGGGACGAGAAGACCCUAUAGAACUUAAAUUUUACAGGAUUGAUUUUAUUUAAUUUGUUUUAAGUUAAUUGUUUAUGAGUUUUGUUGGGGUGAUGGUUAAAAUUUAUAAACUUUAAUUUUUAUAUUUCAUUUUUUUGGUAUGUUGCUAUUUUAUUUAGAAUGUUAAUGAUCUUUUUUUAUGAUUACAAGAUAAAGUUACCUUAGGGAUAACAGCGUUAUUUAUAUGGAGAGUUCUAAUUAAUAUAUAAGUUUGCGACCUCGAUGUUGAAUUAAAAUUAAUUUUUGGUGAAGAAUUUAAGUGGAUUAGGUCUGUUCGACCUUUAAAAUUUUACAUGAUUUGAGUUCAAACCGGUGUGAGCCAGGUUGGUUUCUAUCUUGCAUUAUUAUUUAUUUAGAUUAGUACGAAAGGACCAUUUAAUUUGAAUUAUUUAUUAGUUU
RNAcentral lists this ribosomal RNA (1281 nucleotides) under Aposthonia borneensis. RNAcentral's name for it is "16S ribosomal RNA". The stretch from base 1049 to 1208 matches the Rfam family "Archaeal large subunit ribosomal RNA", at positions 2542 to 2701 of the family's 2987-position model. Lineage: Eukaryota; Metazoa; Arthropoda; Insecta; Embioptera; Oligotomidae. The record is from RNAcentral.